Haliotis rufescens (red abalone) is the source of this 2298-nucleotide long non-coding RNA. RefSeq lists it as uncharacterized. The record is from RefSeq and is a predicted model, not a curated record. The transcript has 2 exons. NCBI's taxonomy places the organism in Eukaryota, Metazoa, Mollusca, Gastropoda, Lepetellida, Haliotidae.
ACUCGACUAUUUACAGACCGCCGUCACAUAGCUUGAAUAUUGCUGAGUGUGGCGUUAAACAACAAACUGACCAACAAAAAUGAAAUUGAAGAUAAAAAAUGCCUGUUGUUUAUGUUCUCUUAGGAGGAAUUGUGCACAUGUGCAAUACAAGUCACAGGUAUGGCAGAACUCUUUAGUAGUGGGUUAGUAUGGUUUUAUGCCGAAAGCAAUAUUCUAGCAAUAUCUUGGCUGCGCCCCCAGCUGAGCUUCACUAACUGAACCCAUGAUGGGAUUCGACCCCGGGCCUUCGUCCUGACGAACCAAAGUUUUAACCACUGUGCUGUCCUAUCACACAGGCUGAAGUGAAAAGGAAAGUAUACCGAGAUCGUUUUCUGAAAACUGAAAAUUGAAAAAAACCUUUUGUUAAAUUUGAUUACGUCUGUUGAUCAGUCAUUUCUGCGACAGUUUGUUAAAAGUAAUCUGUGGCUGGGUAGUUUUGUGCAAAAACAUAUUGGUUCAAUUAAGACUGGGUAAGAAAUGAAUUUGCAACGACAUGACCCCCAUCAGGUUUGAAAUGUAAAUUUAUGCCGAAAACCCCGAAAUAUGUUGAUUUUCAAAGAUAAGAUGCCAAAGGUUUGUGUAUUAUGCGAUUGUUUGUUAAUUUAAUUUUUUUUUUAUAUUUGAGACAAUAUUACCGAUAACAGGAGUGCUGGGAACAGACAGUAGAUCGCCACCUGAAAUGAUAUCUGAUAAGUUAACAAGAUUACAAAUAAAAUAUGGAGCAAAAAGGGUUUCGGUGAUGCUGGCAAAGUCAGGCCGGUUAGGCUUAUCGUCAGCUCAGAGCCCUUGCCCCCUCUACAAGCUGACCAGAAGGGCUGACAAGUCGAACCCACCGAGAACUUUUCGGAGAAUGUGAAGACUUCCCAACACUGCAGCCUUCUGCAUCACCCAGAUUGUCCGAAGAGCUCUAUUCCUGGCAGCAAACCCGGGUACUCUCCCAAUGUCAGUCAACAGAUUGGGAGGUACCAAACCUAAGGCACCGAGAACUAUGGGGAGUCGGACAACUUGGUACUUGGGAUGCAAGCGUGACAUUCCGAAAGUGAGAUCUGCAUAUUUGCCAUGUUCUUCAUGAAUCGUGUCAAUCACGUUAGUGUCGAAAGGGACGGAAAUGUCAAAGAUAUAAAUGAUUUCAUCGAAUUUAUCAAAAAAGACCAGAUUAGUUUUGUUGGCCUGGAUGGUCUGAGGAUGUAAACGGACCUAUUCCAAAGAAUUUUGUACUAAUAAUUUUCCAUGACGCCCUCUUCAUAUCCUGGUUCGUACCAUGGAUGGACCUCUGUGACAAAACCACAAACAUGGCGAAGACGGUAAUAAAAUGAUUGAGACACUCCAUCGUUUCGCUUCAGAUACUGUGUUUGUGCCAAAGCUGGACAGUCUCAUUAAAUUCAUUGCGUAUUCUACAUUUCAUAUUUACAUUUUGAUGCAAAAUCACACACAGACGGUUUCGAGUGGGAAGCGACUGGUCCUAAACAGCAAACAGAAAGCCUUCUGUUUCACUUUUCAGGCCAGUCGACUUUAUCUUAGCGAAGGACUCUGCGGGGUUGCUAAUCAUCUCAACACACUGCACAUAAACUCGAUGCAGUGAUCGUUCAGAUAGUCUCUCCUUGAAACUGAGUCAUGGUUGACACUCAUUUUUGUUCCUCCAGCAGUACAGAACCAUCAACAAAAUCAACACUGACAUUGAGAUUAUGUCCCAUAUACUUGGCUCGUUUAAGAAAACUGUGUAAUGCCUUCACAAGAGGAUCAUCAGACAAAUAAAUGUGUGCAAAGGUGCACAAUACAUCAUGAAGAGCCUCCACGUUAAUCAAACCACGCACCAAGGGAUCACGCAGAUUAGUCGAUAGCCCAAACCGUCAGAAGACAGAAAGUGUUUUCAGUGUUUGAAUGUUGCUGAAGAUGAAUGCCAUGCCAUUUUAAAUUGCCCUGUGUGUCGUGUUGCGUGACGUAGUGCCACGAGUUGAAUUCAAGUUUUAUCAACAAGUGUGAUGUCCAGAAAACAGCCUAUAUUUUGUCAGAUAAUACUACAUUUCCUCUUACCGCCAGAUCCUGCAUUGACAUAUUACAAAAAAACGGAAGAGUGGUUUAUACAGCUGCUAGUCAGCUUCUGUUUUUAUCAUGUAUACUAAAUAUGUGAAUACAUUUUAGAAGAAUAUCUCUUAUAACUCCGUACGGAGUGAACCAUACAUGUAUUUUAUUAUGCAACAGUAUAGAUCUAUCUGUCUAUCUAUCUAUGAUCGAUAAAUGAUACCAUGUUUUCAAGAA